AACGAACGCUGGCGGCAUGCCUAACACAUGCAAGUCGAACGAGACCUGCGGGUCUAGUGGCGCACGGGUGCGUAACGCGGGGGAACCUGCCCUUAGGUGCGGAAUAACUCCCCGAAAGGGGUGCUAAAACCGGAUAAUGUGUUCGGACCAAAGAUUUAUGGCCUGUGGAUGUGCCCGCGUUGGAUUAGCUAGUUGGUAGGGUAAAAGCCUACCAAGGCGACGAUCCAUAGCUGGUCUGAGAGGAUGAUCAGCCACACUGGGACUGAGACACGGCCCAGACUCCUACGGGAGGCAGCAGUGGGGAAUAUUGGACAAUCGGCGAUAGCCUGAUCCAGCAAUGCCGCGUGAGUGCUGAAGGCCUUAGGGUUGUAAAGCUCUUUUACCCGGGAUGAUAAUGACAGUACCGGGAGAAUAAGCUCCGGCUAACUCCGUG
This 433-nucleotide ribosomal RNA is filed under the name uncultured bacterium. RNAcentral's name for it is "partial 16S ribosomal RNA". It matches the Rfam family "Bacterial small subunit ribosomal RNA", at positions 29 to 507 of the family's 1533-position model. The record is from RNAcentral.